ACAAUAUACAAGGUGCUGCAUGGUUGUCGUCAGCUCGUGCCGUGAGGUGUCGGGUUAAGUCCCAUAACGAGCGCAACCCCUAUCAUUAGUUGCCAUCAGGUCAAGCUGGGGACUCUAAUGAAACUGCCUACGCAAGUAGUGAGGAAGGUGGGGAUGACGUCAAAUCAUCAUGCCCCUUAUGACCUGGGCUACAAACGUGAUACAAUGGCUGGAACAAAGGGAUGCGAAGCAGUGAUGUGGAGCGAAACCCAUAAAAACAGUCUCAGUUCGGAUUGAAGUCUGCAACUCGACUGCAUGAAGUUGGAAUCGCUAGUAAUCGUGGAUCAGCCAAGCCGCGGUGAAUACGUUCCCGGGCCUU
RNAcentral lists this ribosomal RNA (358 nucleotides) under uncultured bacterium. RNAcentral's name for it is "bacterial SSU rRNA". It matches the Rfam family "Bacterial small subunit ribosomal RNA", at positions 1026 to 1382 of the family's 1533-position model. The record is from RNAcentral.